Molecule: ribosomal RNA, 304 nt
Filed under: uncultured bacterium
Lineage: Bacteria
Description: partial 16S ribosomal RNA
Rfam family: Bacterial small subunit ribosomal RNA
Source: RNAcentral
CAUCAGUAGCCGCGGUAAUACAGAGGGUGCGAGCGUUAAUCGGAUUUACUGGGCGUAAAGCGUGCGUAGGCGGCUUUUUAAGUCGGAUGUGAAAUCCCUGAGCUUAACUUAGGAAUUGCAUUCGAUACUGGGAAGCUAGAGUAUGGGAGAGGAUGGUAGAAUUCCAGGUGUAGCGGUGAAAUGCGUAGAGAUCUGGAGGAAUACCGAUGGCGAAGGCAGCCAUCUGGCCUAAUACUGACGCUGAGGUACGAAAGCAUGGGGAGCAAACAGGAUUAGAUACCCCCGUAGUCCCUGUCUCUUAUAC